UACGUAGGGGGCAAGCGUUGUCCGGAAUCAUUGGGCGUAAAGAGCGUGUAGGCGGUCCGGUAAGUCGGCUGUGAAAGUCCAGGGCUCAACCCUGGGAUGCCGGUCGAUACUGCCGGACUAGAGUUCGGAAGAGGCGAGUGGAAUUCCCGGUGUAGCGGUGAAAUGCGCAGAUAUCGGGAGGAACACCUAUGGCGAAGGCAGCUCGCUGGGACGUUACUGACGCUGAGGCGCGACAGCGUGGGGAGCAAACAGG
Molecule: ribosomal RNA, 253 nt
Filed under: uncultured bacterium
Lineage: Bacteria
Description: partial 16S ribosomal RNA
Rfam family: Bacterial small subunit ribosomal RNA
Source: RNAcentral